CCCUCACUUUUGAAACUUAUUAAUAAAGAUUUAUUUAUAAAUCGGAGGACCUAUAUGUAAAUAUGAAAAUUUCAAGGACUAAACUGUUAAGUUGUAAAAAGAAGAAAAUAAAGAAAACCGAAAACUUCGGUUUUAUCCCACCGCCUCCCACGCUCUCUCUGUUUCUUCGAGAAACAGAGAGAAGCGGUGGGGCGUGGGGAGAAGAAGAAGAGAAGUAGAGGGAGAAGAGAAGAAGAGGGAAAAGAAGAGAGGAAGAAGAGGGAGAAGAGAAAAAAAAAGAAGAAGUAGAAGAGAGGGAAGAUGGAGAGGAGGAAGAGAGGCAGCUGCAGCAGCUAGGGCUGCAGCACCUCUGUUUUCCGCAGGUGGAAACAGAGGAGAGGAUGUGCGUGGCGUUGGGGAGGAAAAAGGGAAGAGGAGAAAGAAGAGAAGGAGAAGAAGAGGGAAAAGAGAGGGAAGACGGAGUGGAGCGAGAGGUGGCAGCAGCUAGGGCUGCAGCACCUCUGUUUCCUGCAGGUGGAAACAGAGGAGACGUGUGGGGUGACGUGUAGGAGAAGAGCAGAAGAAGAAGAAGAGGAAGAGAAGGAGAAGGGGAAGCAGGAGAAGAGGUUGUGAUACCUCUGUUCCCUGCAGAGGAAACAGAGGAGAGGGUGUGUGUGACGCCGGGAAGAAGAAGGGGAGGAAGGAGAAGAAGAAGAAGAAGAAGAGGAGGUGUGUGGCGUUGGGGAGGAAAGGGGAAGCAGGAGAAGAGGUUGUGAUACCUCUGUUCCCUGCAGAGGAAACAGAGGAGAGGGUGUGUGUGACGCCGGGAGGAAGAAGGGGAGGAAGAAGAAGAAGAAGAAGAAGAAGAGGAGGUGUGUGGCGUUGGGGAGGAAAAGGGAAGAGGAGAAGAGGAAGAGGCAAGGCUGCAGCGAGGAGGUGUGUGGCGUUGGGGAGGAAAAGAAGAAGAGGAGAAGAAGAAAAGAAAGGAAGAAGGGAAGGAGAGGAAGAAGAGAAGGGAAAGAAGGGGCUGCGGCUGCGGCGAUGGCAGCUGCAGUUGGAAGAGAAGAAGGAGAGGAAGAUGAGCAGGGGAGGAAGAAGAGGUUGUGGUCGUGGCUGUGGCCGCGACUGCAGCAGUUGCAGCUGGGAAAAAAGAGAAGGAAAGGAAGGAGAAGAGAAAGGGAAGGAGAGGAAGAAGAGAGGAAGAGGAGAAGGGGUGGCAGCAGCAGCUGGAAGAGAAGGAGAGGAAGAAGAGGCUGCGGUUGUGGUGGCUGCGGCCAUGGCUGCGACUGCGACUGCGACUGCGGCAGUUGCAGCUGGGAAAGAAAAGAAAGGAAAGGGGGGAAAAAGGGGCUGUGGACGGGAUUGCGGCCGCAGCGGCAGCGACUGCGUAUGCAGCAGUUAUGUCUGCGAGAGAAGGGAGGAAGGAAGUUAGUGCGGUGGAAGGGGCUGCGAUUGUGGCAGCGGCAGCGGCGGCGGCUGUGACAGCUGCGUUUGGGAAAGAAAAAGAAGGAAUGAGAGUAAGAGAGAGCAGGUGACUGUGCCUCGAUGUUCGACACGUGGUGUAGUUGCGAAGAAAGGAAGAAAACGGGAGCACAAAACGAAACAGAGAGAGGACACGGAGGAAAAGUAGAAGGAUUUGGGUUGGCACCUUCUUUGGAUCUUCGGGUCAAAAUUUGCAAAGGAUAGCGUAUCGCUUGCUUAAAUGUUAAGAAUGGGCUGAGGCAGUGGAAAGUUUAGAAGACGUUGGGCAGAACUUUUGUUAGCAUAUAUGUAGUUGUGUAUAAGCUACCUUGCAUCUAAUGAAAUGUGACUAUGAAUCUAAACCUGUGGAUUUUGUGUAAGUUAAAGGAUCCCUCAUGUAUAGGGUUUUGGAAUGUUAAAUUAAAUUUGUGUAAUGAUAUGAACUUAUGGUAAAUCGAUGAUUGUGGUGACUGCAUAGAUUUCCCCACUUGUGGACUUA
This is a long non-coding RNA of Musa acuminata AAA Group (dessert banana), 1939 nucleotides long. RefSeq lists it as uncharacterized. The transcript is spliced from 2 exons. Lineage: Eukaryota; Viridiplantae; Streptophyta; Magnoliopsida; Zingiberales; Musaceae. The record is from RefSeq and is a predicted model, not a curated record.